GACGCCGCGUGGGGGAGGAAGGCCCUAGGGUUGUAAACCCCUGUCAGGCGGGAAGAAACUCGGGUCGGCGAAUAGUCGGUCCGAUUGACGGUACCGCCAGAGGAAGCUCCGGCUAACUCCGUGCCAGCACCUGCGGUGACUGAGCGGGCUGGCAAGGCGCAUA
RNAcentral lists this ribosomal RNA (163 nucleotides) under uncultured bacterium. Its description in RNAcentral is "partial 16S ribosomal RNA". It matches the Rfam family "Bacterial small subunit ribosomal RNA", at positions 393 to 539 of the family's 1533-position model. The record is from RNAcentral.